UCUCACGCUGUGACUCUCCAAAGGGAAGCACUUUCUGUUGUCUGAAGGAAAAGAACGCACUUCCCUUUAGAGUGUUACCAUUUGAGA
Colobus angolensis palliatus is the source of this 87-nucleotide microRNA precursor. The record is from Ensembl. Lineage: Eukaryota; Metazoa; Chordata; Mammalia; Primates; Cercopithecidae.